CAGCACAUAUUUUUCUUUUACGUAAUUUAUUUUACUUAUAUAAUACAUUUAAUAAAUAAAUAAAUAAAGAUAAAACUGCUUUGAAAUGACAGCUUCUUCUUCAUCUGCUCAUGCUAUUUUAAAAGAAAACCGACUAAUUCACCGUCGAGUCGUACUACUAUCCCACUUAUCAAGCAAAGAUAGUAAAUAGAUAAUAUGCCAAAUUAUCUUUCAGGAGGUGUUUUACCCCUUAAAAGUGAGAUUGGGUACGUAUAAAGAAAUACGUGUCUCUUAUAUUUUUAUACAUAAUAAAAUAUUUCAAGAAGAAUAAAAUCGGCUUCGGACAGUUGUGACCGUUGUUAGUUAGCGGUAUUUCCCUUGUUAAUAGCAGUUAUUUUCGAUCGCAGCAACCAAUUCUCCCCAACUCCAUCGCGCAUAUAUAUAUACACACUUUACCACACCGAAGUCUUCUCUCACCAAUCCCAUCUCUCAACUACUCAAGUUAUCAAACAUUUAAAACCAUAUAUAUAUAUUUAUAUUUAUAUUUAUAUGAAUUUCUUUAUAAAUGUAAAACAUGUAUAAAGAGAUGUGUAUAUUAUAUAUUAUAUACUAUAUUAUACUAUAGUGUAUAUCAUACUAGCGAUAACUCCGCAGCUGAUACGGCGCCCAAAUCAACUUGCCUUCUCAAAAAAGAAUAAAUGUAUCUCGUGUCCGCACAUUGGAAUAAAGCACGCGAAACAUCGACUUGCGAAAUAAGGGUAAUUGCGUAUAUAUUAUUUUGCGCGGACUUCGCUCAAGACAUUAUUUUACAAGUAUUUUUCUGUGGGAAAUAAACACUUGUUGAAUUCUCUUCUCUCUACCAAUUCAAUCGAUCGCCCGUUUCUUCCCGCGCGACGGCAUUAAAUUGAGAGUAUUUCGAUCUCACGGUGGUAUUUUGCAACUUUUUACGAUACGUUUAUACUAAAUUGCGCACUUUAAUAUACUGUACUUUACAUGAUUACUCCAUAUUUAUAUUUAAAAAGCGAAAUUCUAAAAUAAUUUUCCAGUAAUUCCAGUAAUGUAAACGGCAAAAUUCUAAACUAACUUUUCCAGUAAGUUUUCCAAGAAAGAGGAACACGUGAAGGGUCCACUGACUUUUCCGUAGUUAAAUGCAUUGCGGAUCUCGUAGAAGAAUGACGAUCUGCCUUAAAACCCAACACUUUAAUCUCAACAGAAUUCUACUUCUUCUAGUUGGCUUAUGGCCUUACGAGCAAUCAAAACUUGUUCACUUACAGUUAAUUCUGUUUUUUGGUAUUCUAAGUAGCUCUGUGAUAUUUCAGCUUACAGUAUUCCUGACUGCACAAUUCACUAUUGAUCUUGUUGUUCAAGUUCUUUCAGUUGUAUCGCUCAAUGUUACAUUUAUGAUUACAUACAACGCAUUCUGGGCAAACACUCAUACUGUAAGACUUUUAGGUGAACAACUUCAACAUAUGUGUAACGAGUUAAGAGACGGGAACGAGAUCGCUAUCAUACAAAAAUAUGGCAACGACGCAAAACGUAUUACAAUCAUAUUUAUAUUUCUUCUCGUAUGCUACGUGAUCAGUUUUAAUAUGCUGUCGUUUAUGCCGUACUUUCUUAGUGCUAUUUUGCAUAUAAACGAGUCUAAUCACCCGAUGCAACUGUUCCUGACAGAGUAUUUUGUCGAUGAAGAAAAAUAUUUCUAUCUAAUUUUGCUGCACACUAACGUAGCUUUUAGUAUAGGAGGAACUGCAUUUGCAGCAACAGGACUGAUGCUCUUAUCAUACGUGGAGCAUAGCUGCGGAAUGUUUCAAAUCGCCAGUUACCGUCUCGAGAAGGCAUUGGGAAACGUGCUGGAAAAUAUUAGCGCGGAGAAAGAGAUGAUGCAGUAUAGACAGAUAGUUUAUGCUAUAACUAUUCAUCGCGAUGCAAUGGAGUUCUCCACAUUGUUUAUUUCCAAUUUUGGAAAUUCGUUCUUCGGUGUAGCUGUCGUUGGUGUACUUUGCAUGAGUCUCAAUUUUUUUGGAAUCUCUCGAACGUUAUUGCAUAAAGAACAUUUCAUGCAACUUGCUAAACAUUUUAUAAUCGCAUUUAGUAUUGUGAUGUAUAUAUUCUUAUCCAAUUAUUUUGGGCAACAAGUUACAGAUCACGAUAACCACGUAUAUCUCACGGCAUACAACGUUUACUGGUACAAAGCACCCAUACGUAUACAAAAACUGAUACUGUUUUUGAUAGAAAGGAGUACGAAAAGUUUCAAUCUAAGAGUUGUUGGAGUAUUAGUAGCAUCUAUAGAGCGCUUUGCCUCGGUAAAAAUCAACAUGUGUUGCGUAUUAAUUAACCAUUAUCAAUGUACACCAGAUGAUAUGCCCGACACGUUGCAUUGACGAUACAAUAGCAGACAUAUCUGGUUUCAGCUAAUGAAAACAUCAAUAUCCUACUUCACUGUCAUCCAUUCCUUGCAAUGAAGUAGAAAUCUAUCGUCUGAUAUUGCAAUAGAGUUUACAAUAGGAUAGGUAAAGUGCAUUUUCGAUAUCGAUCAUCUUCAAUUGUUGAUUGAGAAGUUUCAGAGAAUAUUUUUAUUUCUUUCCGAUUGUGAAUCAUGACAUCGCUUAUAAAUUAAGUACAUAGAGAAAGAGAGAGAAUUAUUAGCUCAUUUACACAUUGCCGAUUACACCAACGAAACAUGAAAUAUGAGCUAUUUUUUACGUCCAAGAAGCAAAUUCUCCUGUUUUAUUAAAUAUCACAUGGAUUUUCAAGGAUUACUAAAGAAAGCAUGUUAACAGCCAUGCCAACGCCGACAUAUUCUCGAUAUUAUCGCAUCAAAAAUAGUGCAGUGAUAUUGAAUAUGGUCCAGUCAUGUAAAUUGGAUAUGCAAUAAAGCAUGUUGUAGCU
This 2868-nucleotide unclassified non-coding RNA is filed under the name Ooceraea biroi (clonal raider ant). Its description in RNAcentral is "odorant receptor 85b, transcript variant X6". Lineage: Eukaryota; Metazoa; Arthropoda; Insecta; Hymenoptera; Formicidae. The record is from RNAcentral.